This 497-nucleotide ribosomal RNA is filed under the name uncultured bacterium. Its description in RNAcentral is "partial 16S ribosomal RNA". It matches the Rfam family "Bacterial small subunit ribosomal RNA", at positions 28 to 507 of the family's 1533-position model. The record is from RNAcentral.
GACGAACGCUGGCGGCGUGCCUAAUACAUGCAAGUCGAGCGAACAGACCAGGAGCUUGCUCCUCUGUCGUUAGCGGCGGACGGGUGAGUAACACGUGGAUAACCUACCUAUAAGACUGGGAUAACUUCGAGAAACCGGAGCUAAUACCGGAUAAUAUAUUGAAUCGCAUGGCGCAUUAGUGAAAGACGGCGUUGGUGGCAGCUAUAGAUGGGUCCGCGCCGCAUUAGCUAGUUGGUAAGGUAACGGCUUACCAAGGCAACGAUGCGUAGCCGACCUGAGAGGGUGAUCGGCCACACUGGAACUGAGACACGGUCCAGACUCCUACGGGAGGCAGCAGUAGGGAAUCUUCCGCAAUGGGCGAAAGCCUGACGGAGCAACGCCGCGUGAGUGAUGAAGGUCUUCGGAUCGUAAAGCUCUGUUAUUAGGGAAGAACAAAUGUCGCAGUAACUGUGCACGUCUUGACGGUACCUAAUCAGAAAGCCACGGCUAACUACGUG